This is a non-coding RNA of Misgurnus anguillicaudatus (oriental weatherfish), 1380 nucleotides long. The record is from RefSeq and is a predicted model, not a curated record. Lineage: Eukaryota; Metazoa; Chordata; Actinopteri; Cypriniformes; Cobitidae.
AUUGGGUCAAUUUUUAACCCAGCAUGUGUUCUGUCCAAUAUUUACCCAUUAUGGGUAAAAAAUAACCCAGCCAUUUUUAGAGUGAAGGCUUCAUGAUUUCUCUCUCCUUCACCUCAUGGUUUUCUUCAGCAUGUUAAUAAAUAACAAGUACUUUACAUUUGUUCAGGAUUUGUUUGCAUUGCUUUCAAUUUUGCAUUACAAAAAUUAUGUCGUCUUUGCAUGAAUUUGUCUACUGGUGCAUUUAUUGCUGUGUUGUCAAGAGCAUCAGUCUCAAUUUCUUUUUAGCAAGGAUGAAGAUUCUGCUCUCUUUCCUUCUGCUGGCUGCUCUUAGUGAGCGAGUCUCAGCCCUGAUUCGGGAACACUUUUAUGUGGAUGGUAACAUAAACUGGUUUAAAGCUCAGACAUACUGCAAGACACACUAUUAUGAUUUAUCCACCUUUAGCAAUGAAGAGGAGUAUUUGGGCUUCUUGCACACAACAGGAUAUCAACGCUUUGGUUGGAUCGGCUUGUACAAGGAAAAAAAUUCAUCGCAAUACAAACAGUGGUCUGAUGAGUGCCAGAUUUGAUCUUAGUAAAAGAGAAUAAAAGCUGGGAGGAUGCAUUGGAGUACUGCAGGCUUCACUACAUUGACCUGGCCAGCCUGACCUCACUCACUGAUUUGCUCACGGCUGAAAAAAUUGUGAAUACCGCUGCAGUUAAUGUCUGGACAAGCUUGCGGUUCCUCGCCGGACUUUGGUUCUGGGCAAAUGGUGACAUUUUGGACAGUCAGAUGUCGUUGCCUUCAUGUCCCAUCUCCCCAAAUCACUGUGGAGCUCGAAACUUCAAGACUAAUAGCUGGGAGUUUCAAGACUGUGACAAGAAACUCUAUUUCUUCUGCUAUACUUAGAAAUCUACAGAUGAUGUUGCUGUCGCUACAGACAACAGCAAUGCUUAAGUGUAGUCAGGACUCCCAAAAAGUGCAAUAUAACACUGUCAUGUUUGUUAAAUACAUGAUCUUUGCCAUUGGGUCUCUGGUGAAUCUCUCUAUUAAAGUUUGUGACUUGUGUCUCAUGCUAUUUAUGUGCAGCAUGCCAUUUAUUCUGUCAUUUUUAAAGUCUGUAAUUUAAUUUUCUAAUAUAUAAAAUAUAGUUUUUCUGUAAUGUUGUAAAAAGCUUUAUAGAAAUAAAAUUCAAUAUGUUACCAUAGGAAUGCUUUAUCAGUUCAAAUAUUAGGAGUAUGUAUAAAAAAACCUUUACAGUAGGAUGCAUUACAAUAGGGACAUUAAUAAGCAGAUUAGUAGAUUAAUGUGUGCUGUUUAAACAGUUUACAUUUCAAUUUUUUCUCCAGCGUAAAAUUUAAGAUAGAAAAUAUAUUAGCUUUUUUGUGUUUAAUUUCAUUCUU